RNAcentral lists this ribosomal RNA (292 nucleotides) under uncultured bacterium. Its description in RNAcentral is "partial 16S ribosomal RNA". It matches the Rfam family "Bacterial small subunit ribosomal RNA", at positions 505 to 796 of the family's 1533-position model. The record is from RNAcentral.
GUGCCAGCCGCCGCGGUAAGACGAACCGUGCAAACGUUGUUCGGAAUCACUGGGCUUAAAGGGCGCGUAGGCGGGCCAGCCAGUCUGUGGUGAAAGCCUCCAGCUUAACUGGAGAAGUGCCGUGGAUACUGCUGGCCUCGAGGAGGGUAGGGGCAUCUGGAACGGUCGGUGGAGCGGUGAAAUGCGUUGAUAUCGACCGGAACUCCGGUGGCGAAGGCGAGGUGCUGGGCCCUUUCUGACGCUGAUGCGCGAAAGCCAGGGGAGCAAACGGGAUUAGAAACCCCCGUAGUCC